RNAcentral lists this unclassified non-coding RNA (410 nucleotides) under Hevea brasiliensis (rubber tree). Lineage: Eukaryota; Viridiplantae; Streptophyta; Magnoliopsida; Malpighiales; Euphorbiaceae. The record is from RNAcentral.
UGGAGAGGUUGAGGAGGGAGUCUAUGUGGUGUAGAAAUGUGUGUGCUUUCCAUGGUGUGACCAAAUUGGAAAGAAGCUUGUGCUUGAUUAUGGAUAGGUGUAAAGGAUCAGUACAGACGGAGAUGCAGCGGAAUGAAGGGCGACUAACACUUGAGCAAAUUCUGAGAUAUGGAGCAGACAUUGCCCGUGGGGUGGCUGAACUUCAUGCAGCUGGUAUUGUUUGCAUGAAUAUUAAGCCGUCCAAUCUUCUUUUAGAUGCAAAUGGUCAUGCUGUGGUAUCUGAUUAUGGGCUUCCUGCAAUUUUAAAGAAGCCUGCCUGUAGGAAAGCUCGAUUGGAGUGUGAGUCCACAAUAACUCAUUCUUGCAUGGAUUGUACAAUGCUUAGCCCAAACUACACUGCUCCAGAAGCG